GGGUCAAAGGUCACCGCAAUGGCCGGGGAGAACUUCCUCUUCCUUGGCUCAUCCCACUUACUGCCUGAUGACCUGAGUUGACGCUGGUGAAGACAUUCAUGAUUUAAACACCAGAUCCUGAAAUGGGUUAAAUCUACUUUGAAAUGAAUCUGCAAUCAGUAUUUCAAAGCUUUUCUGUUAGCCACAGUAAAUGAACAACCCCUUCAGAAUGGGUUUGAAGAGCUGAUCCCGUGGACAAAAGAGGGGAAACCGUGGGAGUUCCCAAUUAACAAUGAAGCAGCCCACCCACAAAUGAAUUACCAGGAGUGAACCCAGGGGCACGUAUGAAUGAAAGUCCACAGACAAAUGAAUUUAAAGGAGCAACCGAGGAGGCACCUGGGAAAGAAAGCCCAUACACAAGUGAAUUUAAAGGAGCAGCCCUGGUGUCACCUAUCAGUGAAAGUAUGUUAGAACGACUUUCCAAGUUUGAAGUCGAAGAUGCUGAAAAUGUUGCUUCAUAUGACAGCAAGAUUAAGAAAAUUGUGCGUUCAAUUGUAUCAUCCUUUGCAUUUGGAAUAUUUGGAGUUUUCCUGGUCUUACUGGAUGUCACUCUCCUCCUUGCCGACCUAAUUUUCACUGAUAGCAAACUUUAUAUUCCUUUGGAGUAUUGUUCUAUUUCUCUAGCUAUUGCCUUAUUUUUUCUCAUGGAUGUUCUUCUUCGAGUAUUUGUAGAAGGGAGACAGCAGUAUUUUUCUGACUUAUUUAACAUUUUAGAUACUGCCAUUAUUGUGAUUCCUUUGCUGGUUGAUGUCGUUUACAUUUUUUUUGACAUUAAGUUUCUUAGGAAUAUUCCCAGAUGGACACAUUUAGUUCAGCUUCUACGACUGAUUAUUCUGAUAAGAAUUUUUCAUCUGGUUCAUCAAAAAAGACAACUUGAAAAGCUGAUGAGAAGGCUGGUUUCAGAAAACAAAAGGCGAUACACAAGUGAUGGAUUUGACCUGGACCUCACUUACAUUACAGAGUGUAUUAUUGCUAUGUCAUUUCCAUCUUCUGGAAGGCAGUCUUUCUAUAGAAAUCCAAUCGAGGAAGUUGUGCGGUUUCUAGACGAAAAGCAUCCAAGCCACUAUCGAGUCUACAAUCUAUGCAGUGAAAGAGCUUAUGAUCCUAAGCACUUCCAUAAUAGGGUCGGUAGAAUCAUGAUUGAUGAUCAUAAUGUCCCCACUCUACAUGAGAUGGUGUUUUUCACCAAGGAAGUAAAUGAGUGGAUGGCUCAAGAUCUUGCAAACAUCGUAGCGAUUCACUGCAAUGGAGGCAAAGGAAGAACCGGCACUAUGGUUUGCGCUUUCCUUAUUGCCUCUGAAAUAUUUUUAACUGCAGAGGAAAGCCUGUAUUAUUUUGGAGAAAGGCGAACAGAUAAAACCCACAGCAGUAAAUUUCAGGGAGUAGAAACUCCUUCUCAGAAUAGAUAUGUUGGAUAUUUUGCACAAGUGAAACAUCUUUACAACUGGAAUCUCCCUCCAAGACGGAUACUCUUUGUAAAAAGAUUCAUUAUUUAUUCGAUUCACGGUGAUGUAUGUGAUCUAAAAGUCCAAAUAGUAAUGGAGAAAAAGGUUGUCUUUUCCAGUACUUCAUCAAGAUAUUGUUGGAUAAUGCGUAACAUUGAAACAGACAAGGUAUUCAUUGAUGUAUUCGACGGUCCACCUCUGUAUGAUGAUGUGAAAGUGCAAUUUUUCUCUUCGAGAGAAGAGGGCAGCACACUUCGCAGGGCCAACUGGAAGGGGGAGCCAUCCAGGAGACCUGUGCUCGACUGAUGGGUGGGAGCAAUAGCAAGAGGGAGGGAUCUGAGAGUGGAAGCCUUCAUUGGGAUAAUCUUCCUAAGUACUAUGACAACUGUUCAUUUUUCUUCUGGUUCAACACAUCUUUUAUUCAAAAUAACAGGCUUUAUCUACCAAGAAAUGAAUUGGAUAAUCCACAUAAACAAGAAGCAUGGAGAAUGUAUCCACCAGAAUUUGCUGUGGAGAUACUUUUUGGCGAGAAAUGACUUCCAAUGACGUUGUAGCUGGAUCCGAUUAAGUAUAGCUCCCCCUUCCCCUUCUGGGAAAGAAUUAUGUUCUUUCCAACCCUGCCACAUGUUCAUAUGUCCUAAGUCUUCCUUGAUGAUGUAUCUGUAUUUAUAUAUGUUUAUAUAUGUUCUUCAUAAAUCUAUUAAAUAUAUAUAGAUAAAA
Molecule: non-coding RNA, 2204 nt
Organism: Nomascus leucogenys (northern white-cheeked gibbon)
Lineage: Eukaryota; Metazoa; Chordata; Mammalia; Primates; Hylobatidae
Source: RefSeq, a predicted model, not a curated record